Molecule: long non-coding RNA, 465 nt
Organism: Pieris napi
Lineage: Eukaryota; Metazoa; Arthropoda; Insecta; Lepidoptera; Pieridae
Exons: 2
Source: RefSeq, a predicted model, not a curated record
GUUGUUCAAGAGAUGGCGCUAUGAUUAAUAUAAAAAAUAAUUAAUAUCCAUAAUUAGUUAUAACCAUAAACGCAUUCUUAUCACAUUACGGUCAGAAAUCUGCACGUUUCUUUUAAUAAUAGUGAUUCAAUGUAGUUAACUAGUUAUAUGGUAUCUCUCAGAAAACAAACAGUUAAAUUAGUGAUACUCCUUGAAAUUGUACAAAAACUCAUUUACUUAACAAUGAGAGGGAACAUAUUUAUCAAAUUGAUUGGAUUAUUUUUUAUAAUUGCCAUGAUGUCUUCGUUUCAAGAAACCGAAGCGGCAAUGAAAUCACGCUUUUGUAAAAUGGAUUGUGAAUUACUUUGCAAGACACGGGGUUGGAGUUACGGAGUUUGCAGUCGAGGGAAGUGUUUCUGUGCGCGGGGAGUGGGGACAUAAAAUAAAUAUGUUUAUAUUAAAAUAAAGUUAUUUAUAAAAUGUGUU